RNAcentral lists this ribosomal RNA (483 nucleotides) under uncultured bacterium. Its description in RNAcentral is "bacterial SSU rRNA". It matches the Rfam family "Bacterial small subunit ribosomal RNA", at positions 28 to 514 of the family's 1533-position model. The record is from RNAcentral.
GAUGAACGCUAGCGGCAGGCUUAACACAUGCAAGUCGAGGGGUAUAGUAGCAAUACUAGAGACCGGCGCACGGGUGCGUAACGCGUAUGCAAUCUACCUUUUACAGAGGGAUAGCCCAGAGAAAUUUGGAUUAAUACCUCAUAGCAUUGCGAAAUGGCAUCAUUUUGCAAUUAAAGUCACAACGGUAAAAGAUGAGCAUGCGUCCCAUUAGCUAGUUGGUAAGGUAACGGCUUACCAAGGCAACGAUGGGUAGGGGUCCUGAGAGGGAGAUCCCCCACACUGGUACUGAGACACGGACCAGACUCCUACGGGAGGCAGCAGUGAGGAAUAUUGGACAAUGGGCGCAAGCCUGAUCCAGCCAUGCCGCGUGCAGGAUGACGGUCCUAUGGAUUGUAAACUGCUUUUGUACGAGAAGAAACACUCCGACGUGUCGGAGCUUGACGGUAUCGUAAGCAUAAGGAUCGGCUAACUCCGUGCCAGCAG